GUCAUGGAGAGUUUGAUCCUGGCUCAGGACGAACGCUGGCGGCGUGCGUAAUACAUGCAAGUCGAGCGGACCUUCGGGUCAGCGGCGGACGGGUGAGGAACACGUGAGUGAUCUAUCGAUGAGUGGGGGAUAUCGGGCCGAAAGGCGCGGCAAUCCCGCAUACGUUCCUGCGGGAAGAAAGCUGGGCAACUGGCGCUCAUCGCGGAGCUCGCGGCCCAUUAGCUAGUUGGGGGGGUAACG
This 240-nucleotide ribosomal RNA is filed under the name Sulfobacillus thermotolerans. Its description in RNAcentral is "partial 16S ribosomal RNA". It matches the Rfam family "Bacterial small subunit ribosomal RNA", at positions 1 to 262 of the family's 1533-position model. The record is from RNAcentral. Lineage: Bacteria; Bacillati; Bacillota; Clostridia; Eubacteriales; Clostridiales Family XVII. Incertae Sedis.